GACGUAGGGGGCGAGCGUUGUCCGGAAUCACUGGGCGUAAAGAGCUCGUAGGCGGGAUUGCGCGUCGUGGAGUAAAUCCAUCUGCUUAACGGAUGGCUCAUCUGCGAUACGGCAAUUCUUGAGGACAGAAGAGGAAAGCGGAAUUCCGAGUGUAGCGGUGAAAUGCGUAGAUAUUCGGAGGAACACCAGUGGCGAAGGCGGCUUUCUGGUCUGAUUCUGACGCUGAGGAGCGAAAGCCAGGGGAGCAAACGG
RNAcentral lists this ribosomal RNA (252 nucleotides) under uncultured bacterium. Its description in RNAcentral is "partial 16S ribosomal RNA". It matches the Rfam family "Bacterial small subunit ribosomal RNA", at positions 524 to 775 of the family's 1533-position model. The record is from RNAcentral.